RNAcentral lists this ribosomal RNA (495 nucleotides) under uncultured bacterium. RNAcentral's name for it is "partial 16S ribosomal RNA". It matches the Rfam family "Bacterial small subunit ribosomal RNA", at positions 30 to 507 of the family's 1533-position model. The record is from RNAcentral.
UGAACGCUGGCGGCGUGCCUAAUACAUGCAAAUCGAGCGACCGGACGAGAAGCUUGCUUCUCUGAUGUUAGCGGCGGACGGGUGAGUAACACGUGGAUAACCUACCUAUAAGACUGGGAUAACUUCGGGAAGCCGGAGCUAAUACCGGAUAAUAUUUUGAACCGCAUGGUUCAAAAGUGAAAGACGGUCUUGCUGUCACUUAUAGAUGGAUCCGCGCUGCAUUAGCUAGUUGGUAAGGUAACGGCUUACCAAGGCAACGAUGCAUAGCCGACCUGAGAGGGUGAUCGGCCACACUGGAACUGAGACACGGUCCAGACUCCUACGGGAGGCAGCAGUAGGGAAUCUUCCGCAAUGGGCGAAAGCCUGACGGAGCAACGCCGCGUGAGUGAUGAAGGUCUUCGGAUCGUAAAACUCUGUUAUUAGGGAAGAACAUAUGUGUAAGUAACUGUGCACAUCUUGACGGUACCUAAUCAGAAAGCCACGGCUAACUACGUG